GUCAAGUCAGCAUGGCCUUUAUAUCCUGGGCUACACACACGCUACAAUGGCCAACACAAUAGGUUGCUAAGCCGCGAGGUGGCGCCAAUCCAUAAAGUUGGUCUCAGUUCAGAUUGUAGGCUGCAACCCGCCUGCAUGAAGAUGGAGUUGCUAGUAACCGCAGGUCAGCUAUACUGCGGUGAAUACGUUCCGGGCUU
This 197-nucleotide ribosomal RNA is filed under the name uncultured Leptolinea sp. RNAcentral's name for it is "partial 16S ribosomal RNA". It matches the Rfam family "Bacterial small subunit ribosomal RNA", at positions 1184 to 1377 of the family's 1533-position model. Lineage: Bacteria; Bacillati; Chloroflexota; Anaerolineae; Anaerolineales; Anaerolineaceae. The record is from RNAcentral.